CAUUAUCUAUAAUAUAAAAAUAAGUCGGGUUUUCCUUCCUGACGCUAUAACUCCAGAACGCACGAACCGAUUUCCACGGUUUUGCAUUCGUUGGAAAGGUCUCGGGCUCCGUGAGGUUUAUAGCAAAGAAAAUUCAGGAAAAAUUU
Spodoptera frugiperda (fall armyworm) is the source of this 146-nucleotide long non-coding RNA. RefSeq lists it as uncharacterized. The transcript has 2 exons. The record is from RefSeq and is a predicted model, not a curated record. NCBI's taxonomy places the organism in Eukaryota, Metazoa, Arthropoda, Insecta, Lepidoptera, Noctuidae.